This 351-nucleotide ribosomal RNA is filed under the name uncultured bacterium. RNAcentral's name for it is "bacterial SSU rRNA". It matches the Rfam family "Bacterial small subunit ribosomal RNA", at positions 917 to 1267 of the family's 1533-position model. The record is from RNAcentral.
GGACCCGCACAAGCGGUGGAGCAUGUGGUUUAAUUCGAUGCAACGCGAAAAACCUUACCUACACUUGACAUACUUCGAAUUUUCUAGAGAUAGAUUAGUGCCUUCGGGAGCGAAGAUACAGGUGCUGCAUGGCUGUCGUCAGCUCGUGUCGUGAGAUGUUGGGUUAAGUCCUAUAACGAGCGCAACCCUUACCCUUAUUUGCCAGCGGUUAGGCCGGGAACUAUAAGGGAACUGCCGGUAAUAAGCCGGAGGAAGGUGGGGACGAGCGUCAAGUCAUCAUGGCCCUUACGUGUAGGGCUACACACGUGCUACAAUGGUAGGUACAGAGAGCAGCCAAUGCGCGAGCAUGAG